RNAcentral lists this ribosomal RNA (455 nucleotides) under uncultured Anaerolineaceae bacterium. RNAcentral describes it as "bacterial SSU rRNA". It matches the Rfam family "Bacterial small subunit ribosomal RNA", at positions 916 to 1381 of the family's 1533-position model. The record is from RNAcentral. Lineage: Bacteria; Bacillati; Chloroflexota; Anaerolineae; Anaerolineales; Anaerolineaceae.
GACGGGACCCGCACAAGCAGCGGAGCGUGUGGUUUUAAUUCGUUGCUACACGAAGAACCUUACCUGGGUUUGACAUAUAGGUUGUAGGGAACUGAAAGGGACCGACCCUUCGGGGAGCCUAUACAGGUGUUGCAUGGCUGUCGUCAGCUCGUGUCGUGAGAUGUUCGGUUAAGUCCGCUAACGAGCGCAACCCUCGUCGUAUGUUAUAUGUGUCAUACGAGACUGCCGGUAAAAGCCGGAGGAAGGUGAGGAUGAUGUCAAGUCAGCAUGACCUUUAUAUCCAGGGCUACACACACGCUACAAUGGUCUGUACAAUGGGUAGCCAAGCCGCGAGGCGGAGCCAAUCCUGAAAGCAGGCCUCAGUUCAGAUUGCAGUCUGCAACUCGACUGCAUGAAGCCGGAGUUGCUAGUAACCGCAGGUCAGCAAUACUGCGGUGAAUACGUUCCCGGGCCUU